Molecule: long non-coding RNA, 7187 nt
Organism: Passer domesticus (house sparrow)
Lineage: Eukaryota; Metazoa; Chordata; Aves; Passeriformes; Passeridae
Exons: 3
Source: RefSeq, a predicted model, not a curated record
UCUCAUCACACCUGAUUUCUCACCAUCAUGGCAAAUUUUCUUCUUAUCUCCUGUAAGUUUAAUUUGUUGUCUUGCCCUGAAGCCUGCCCAGCAAAUGUGUCCCUCAUGUAUGGGGAAGUGCUGUGUGUCUGUAGGUAUUGCUCUGGUUGAAACUAUUUAACAUCGAAGGUCUUUUGCAAAACAGUACUGAAUUGCUGGCGGUGUUUUCCCUAAAUAGGGAUUUCGAUAGCUUGUUCUACUUAAUCAAAUUAGCUAUCUUUGAUUUAAUCUGGUGUUUAAGCCAAAUUCCCAAGACAAAGUGGUUUUAAUAGUCUGUUCAGUUUGCAAUCUCUGUUUUCCAAGAAAAUUGGCUUUUAUUUGUUUGUUUGUUUCUGACAAAUGUACACGAAGAACUGGUGUAGGCUGGCUACCUAUAGGGAAAUAGCUAAUUUGACAUUCAGUUUCUUCCUUUGUGAGCUAGCCCAUUUCCCAUGCCUUUCCCUCAGUCUGCCAGAAGUGUUUGUCAGCUGGUCUGGCACCUCUGCCUCUCUGGCUAUAGCCUGCAUUUUUUUUUCUUCUUCCCUGAUUCAUAUUUGUUUCUCAUCCCAUCUUGCAACUCCAGCUUUUUCUCCUUAUUUGGAAAAAAAAAGGUCUUGUGAAUUAAAGUGGGUCAGUAAAAGCUACAAACUCCUCUUUUUAAAACUCAUUCUGUGUCUGUUGGGGGCCUUUGUGCCAGCUGAGACCACUGCAGAUCCCAGUCACCACACCCUAUGGAAAAGGUCACUUCAGGAGUGCAGGACUUACUGGAGCAAACAGGAAACCUUGAGCUUUUCUCUUCUUUCUCCAUUAUUCACUUGGGGUUUUAGCCUGGAGCAGAGAGGCUGUGCACCUCUUAACAACAUCAGGACUGGGGAAGGUGACCCUCAGCUCACACUGUGCUCACCCAAAGGUCCCUCUGGUGCUCCAGCUCUAGGCAGAAAAUCCAUCAGUGCUCUCAGUGAACUAAAGGACUUUGGUGGGAGUGCUGCAUUAGCUGUGGACCUCUGAAACAGUGUUUAAGGGCCAAAGUCAGCUUGGGGCUUCUGUGAUUGUUGAGAGGCUUUGUUAAAAGUGAGCUCCUGGAUAGUUUAUUUAUCAAGACCUGGAACCUCAGUCACAGUAUGAACAUGGAAAUAGGAGAAAUAGGAAGUUUGAGCUGGUGGUUUGACUGAUAUCCUAUAAUUCUAUUUUAUUUCUCCCUGAAUGUUGGGGAAAAUGAUGGGGUAGAUGAAAAGCUUUGCUUUCUGCAUAAUUGAGAAAAUUCCUUGUUAUGCCAGAUUAUCAAAGCUAGUUUUGGGUCCUUCCAUUUGUACUGCUACUGCUCCUUACUACCCUCCACUGACCUGAAAUCAAACCUGAGUAAAUCCUCCAGAUAAAUUUUACCCUGUUUAGACUGACUUACCCUACAGAGAAAUUCCAUCUCUACUCAGGGUGUUCCUCUCCAGCCCUGCAAAGCUGGUCCUGGGAGAGACAAACUCUGUCUCUGCAGCCAACUCAUUCUCCUACCUUUUAUUUGCCUUUUUUUUAUUACUAUACCAUAAAUACUACAGCCUCCUGGACACUGCUAUUUGUACCAAAAAAAUAAUACAAACAGAACACUAACAGGCAGGCAAGUGUCUGGCAGGGGGGUCUGUAACUUCUCCCUUCAUUAUUACUGCUCUAAGCAAUUUAAAUGUGAAUAAACCAGCUCAAAGUGGAAGGAAGCGCUGGAUUCAGUGUGACAUGGUUAGAAAAGAGUAGGUGUUGAUAUGCCCAGAGGUCAUCUGGGGCUUUAACAUCCCUUGUCAAGGCCCGUGGCAGCCAAACUGGUAUUUUCUUACUCUUCAGGAGUGCUGGGGUGUUUGCCACAUCUCACUCCACUUUCAGGAUCAUUAUCAGUGAGGCUGCUGAAUUGCCAUCUCUGCUGCAGGGACUGGAAGAUGUCCACAGAAAUCUGGGCAUGGUGACACUGAGGGGAUGGAGUUGUUGUUAAUUGGCGGAUUUUCUACGAGUGGGCUGUACCAGUGGAGACUGGGCCUGCUCUUGCUGCUCAGCAGCACAGCCACAGUGUCAAUGUCCCAGGAGUGUCUAUGCCUUCAGUGGCUUUUCCUGUUGUCCUGAGUCUAGCCUGCCUCUUCUCUCCCUCCCAGAAAAUGCUGUAGUGACAACAGUUGUUGGCUGGCUCAGCUGGAAGUUUACAGUAUUUAAAUUACAGUUCCAGGUCUGAGUUCCACACUCAGACCAGUGAGGUGGGAUCAGCUACCAAAGGAGGAGAUAAUUAAAGGCCAUUACAGCAAGCUGGUCCCAAGGGAGCCAUAAUGGUCCUGGUGAAGCUGCUGCAAGUGGGCACUCAAGUCACAUCCUCGGCUGCCUCGCUGAACUCAGGGGUAGUGUUCUUACGGGUUGGUUUGAACUGAAAUGUGUGUGCACAGCUGUGCUCAUUCAAAAAGGAAUUCACAAAGCUCUGUAGAGGGAAUUAACCUUGCUGAGGCCCGCCAAGAAAAUGUAGAGAUUUUUUAUUUUGAAUGAAAAUAUGUAAAUCAAAUGAAUACCUUACUCAGACUCACUUAAAAACUGCUUUCAGAAGUGUCUGUAGAGAGAGAGGCCACUGUCACUGUCUUCAUACAAUCCCAGAUGGCAUGAUACAAAUUUUACUCUUUUCUAGGAUCUGUUUUGUACAGCCUACUUUCCAUCUUGAUUUUCUUCCCUUUUGGCACUGCAGAUGAAUAUGUUUCAUUUUCCCAUGGCUUCUACUCCUCAGUGCUGCACCGAGUUGGCUGCCAGCUACACCAGAUCUCUGCUGUUUGAAAUCCCCCUCCUUGUCCAGAUCAGCCUGAGACUUCACUUUUGCUUAAUUAAAGCAAAAGAGGAGCAAAAAAUCCCCACCCAGAAGAACACUGGAAGAGCUCACACAUGGUAGUGGCAACAUGACAGUUGUCACUCAGUCCUGAAUCUGGGCUUCCACAUGCCACAAACUGGUGGAUUAACUGCAGACAGAAGUACAUUCUUCAGCUGCUGGAGGUCCAUGAGUAGUGCUAAGAAAAAGGCUCACUCAUCGACCCAGUUUGCAGUUUCCCACUCCAUCACCUCAUAAAGAGCUGGAGACAAGCAGGCCAGGAGCAAACGCUGCUUUGUGUGCUCUGUGCUCCACAUGUCGCAGCACGGCAGGACACUGCAAUGGUGUGCAUAUUUCCUGUGUAAAAACCAUUCGCCCAUUGGAAGACUUUAAGCAAACAACAACAAAACACUUUGCAAAAGCAAGGGGAGGGGCAGAUGCCACGAUAACACAGGAUUGCUCCUGAUGCAGGGACAGACAGAGGAGCUGCUGUGAGCCAUGGCCAGUGCAUCACUUCUGCCUUCACUGGGGCAGCUGAGGAGCUGCAGAGGGACUGGGACAGCCAGAGCCCAGCCCUGAUUAGCAGCUGAAGGGGCUCUUGAAAGCCUCCAUUUUAGGGCCCUGUAGUUCCCUUUCCUGUAGAAGUAUAAAGAUUAUAACAGCAUAAUAUAAAAAUAUAUCAUUCUAUCAUUUACACUGAACCUGUUCACCAACAAUAGCUGGGGAGGUUGAAGAGGUGAGGGUGUGAGGUGGGAGGUGGGGUGCUGCAGUGAGCCUGCAGGCAGUGGGUGUUUCCCUGCCCAGGCAUCCCCUCCCAGUGCCUGUGAGGACUCUUGCCUAUUUUGGCCAAAAUUAGAUUGGAUGCUUUCUUCCACUUCUUCCAUCUCGCCGUUCUUAAAGUUUUGAAGUGUUUCAAAACAUUAGUGUUAAAAUAAUUUCUGUUGAACUGAGUACAACCAAAUAAACUGCAUGUUAUUUGGGCUGAUUUAUAAUUAGCAGUUCUAAGGAGGAGACUAAUUUAACUGUGUCAUCCUAUUUGUUGUAACUUCUUUGCUCUUUGGUGCUGUUUUCCACCAGCCUAAGAGCACAGGAGGGAAUGCCCUGCUGUGUCUCAGCUAACAGGUCAGCCCAACCUGCUUUGACUCACCCACUUAGGAAAUUGAGUCGAAUACCAGGUGUGCAAAGUAAAUCUGAUAUGAAGGAUUAUUUGUUUUGCUAUAGUAUUUAGUGGUAAGAUUAUCUUGGGGAAGAGAAAGUGAAUGUUCCACGCCAAAAAAAAGAGAACAGCUUUGGGUUCCCAGUCAGUUUAAACCAUUACACUUCCCAACUGACCUGUCUAAUCUUUUCUACAGAUAAUUAUUUUGCAGCACCUGACGGUAAGUCCUGUUAAUCAGCAAUUUUUAUGUACUGUCAUGGAUAGCUCUGUCUCUGCUGUGACCAGCUCUUGUCCCUAGGAGGAUUCUUGCAGAAAAAUCCUGAUCGGGGCAUGCACUUAAAAAAAUCACCAUUUUAAGCACUUUACAUUUUUUUUUCCAUUUCAGAAGAAACUGUCCACAGAUAGGAAUCCAACCAAAUAAAUCCCCGGGUAGAUUGCCUUUGAAUUUGAGCUCUCUGCCUUUCUAAAAGCAAGCCUUACCUUGUGCAUGUGUUACAUCUUCCAAAUUAAUGAAUUUAAACCCCCAGUUCUGUUUUCCAGUGGCAAUGGGGGAUCAGACCAGGCAGUUGAGGAGAAUGGGAAAUGCAGGCCUGGAGGAAAUCAGGGAAACAAGUACCUGACAAUUGCAGCAGUGAUAAAUAAGGCAGAUGGAUAGGAAAGAGCCAUAAAAUAGGAGAAGAGGGGAUAAGAGAGAGAGACAUUCCUUUCCUGAGUGGAAAGAGUCUUCACUGUGUUACUAUUUCUGACAGAGGGCAGGGGAUGGGGAGGACAAAUCCUCCCGUGUCAAGAAAAAGGGGUAAAUGCAGCAUGUCUUCUUCACAAGAUGGAUAUUUUAUGAAGACUAAGAAGAUAAAUGCCUGGUAUGCUUGAGGGUCAGGGUAAUUCUAGAGAAUAGAAGAGUUUUCUUUCCUACUUGUUUUCCCAUGCAGCCCAGAGUUAUUUAGCUAAGCUUUUAAUACACAAGUGGGAAUUUUGCUGAAUGAUUCUCCAGUAAAAUUUUUGUGCAAUUUUUUUCCUCCUGUUUCUUCCCCCCCCCGUCCUUUUUGUUUUCUUUUGUUUGAACUACCCAUAGGCAGUGGUUCAAAAGCAGACUUUUAAAGAAUGGUUUGUUGGUGUGGGUUGGGGUUGAUCUGGUCAAAGAUGUGGUUUUUUUGUUUUUUUUUCCUAGCCUAGUUACCAGGCCAGAGGACAGAGUACAGUAAGAGCAUGGAGCAGUAGCUGAUUCCAGGGCCAUUAGAAUUCUGGGUGGCAUUAGGAUUGCCUUUUUUUUUUCCCAUGAGAAAAUGUAAUGCAAGUUAAGCAAAAUCUGAAUACAGUCUUUGUUUUGUCCAAAACCUGAGGCAAUUAGGAAAAGAACAGAGAUUGUCAGGCAUUUAAACCCUCCAGCUCUCUCAGCAUGGAGUGUGACAAGGCUGAACUGAACGCCAGCCUCUCUUCCCUAAGAUCAGGUAAGAACCACAGGAGUAUCCUCAGAGGAGCUGCAGCAGCUGUAGACCUUGGACUGGAUGAAAAGCAAACAUCAAAAAGCAGAUCCAAGGAAGCCCUGAGUCCAAAACUUUUAAGUUGUUUUUGGUUCACCCCCUCAGCUAACAGAUGAUAAUAAUUGCUUUUCACUUACCUCUCUCAGCUGCUGCACUUACAACACUGAUACAUCUGCAGAAGGUGCAGUAUUGCAUCUUUGGGGAUUUUUGGGCUUCCAAGCACUUUUACAGCUUAUGUCUGUGCCCCUAGAUGUGCAGAAGGAAAUCAGCUGCAAGGGGCUGCCAUGUGCUGGAAAUGCCAGCACUGUGCUCCCCUGCCUCCUCCAGCUGUUCCUGAUGUCCCCACUGCCCAGAGUCCCCUCGCUGCAGAAAGGCAACUAAAAGAUUUCUUCUCUAGGAAAAGAAAGCAUCUGGGCCAUAAAUGCCACAAGCCCUCCUCAGUGACACUCUGUGUAUCAGGAAAUAUCAUCUGGCACUCAGAUAUUUUUCAGGAAUUGCUUCUACAGCACUUGCCAGCACCUUGAGUAAACUCCAAUGCUGUCAAUUUGUUGUUGAAAGCCACAGGAGAUGUAAUUUCUGGCAUUCUUUAGCUCUUCCCUGCAGAUCCCACAGCUUUUCUCAUUGUAAUAAUGAGAAGGCUGAGCCCACAGGGCUCGUUUCUAGUAACCCAUCAAUACAAUAGGCAUUUUAUCACCUAAAGGAUUUAGAGUGUCUUCUGCCUGAGUCCAUCUGUUUUGCCAGUUUAAAAACCGUGUAUGAAGAUAACUUUGAGGUAGUUCUUGCCCAUAAAAAAUUCAUUGGUCCUCCUUGAGUAAGCAACACAUUCUCCAAGGUUUGAAGUCUAUUUAAAGGUAUAUUUAAAUUGGGGAUUUCAUUAGACUGAGGGUUUAACAUGGAGAGUAGCUGCACAAACCUUCCCAGAGGAAGCUUCCUUAUGUAAAUUUUCACAGCAUUUUGUCAAAGUGUAUAUAUUUUUUUGAUCAAGGAUUUUUGUCUUUUUGUAGUCCCAAAAUAUCAAAAAAGUAUGAUGAAUUUUGAUAAAAUGCAAGUGUUAUUUGCUGGAAUAUUAUGGGUCUGUUUUGGUAUUACAGCCAGAAAGAUAUUCUCACUCUUGCACUGGUGCUGUGUCCCCUUAAUCUUAAUUGUUGAACAUCCUUAGGGAAAAGAUUUAUUUAAUAAAGCUGAAACUCUGAUAAAGGAAUACAACUACUGUUGUAUCUGACAACAUAAACCACCACCAGGUUGGUCAAAACUUUUCUUUUUUCUCUUACAACAGAGGGACAACAAAUGGCCAAGCUGAUACUUGCUGCUGAAUUUCUUCACGUUAAACUCAGCUACCAGAUGUUGCUGGAACCAAGGUCAAUAUGCAAAAAGCACGUUUGCAAGAUGGAGUAAAUAUCUGGUUUUCAAUUCCUGUUUAUUGAUUAUAUUUUUUAAAAAUUUUGUCGGGGCACUCCAUUGCAAGCCGGGCAGUGCUGGGAGUCAUGAAGAUCCCUGACUUGGCACAAAGUGACCUCCCAAACACGCCACGUGCUGCUGUGCAGAUUUGCAGACCUCCAGGUGAACCCCAAGGACACUCAGGGUCCUCAUAGGAUGCUCCUUGAAGUUUAACUUCACAGCUGUUCCAGCUCAGACACAACUGCUCAGAAGGUGUGAAAUGAUGCCAUUUUUUCCCAGCUGGAUUGGAAACCAUGCAACACUGAAGACCAGACUAUGU